This 253-nucleotide ribosomal RNA is filed under the name uncultured bacterium. RNAcentral describes it as "partial 16S ribosomal RNA". It matches the Rfam family "Bacterial small subunit ribosomal RNA", at positions 524 to 776 of the family's 1533-position model. The record is from RNAcentral.
UACGUAGGUGACAAGCGUUGUCCGGAUUUACUGGGCGUAAAGAGCGCGCAGGCGGUCGAUCAAGUCGAGUGUGAAAGCCCCCGGCUCAACUGGGGAGGGUCAUUCGAUACUGAUCGACUCGAAGGCAGGAGAGGGUAGUGGAAUUCCCGGUGUAGUGGUGAAAUGCGUAGAUAUCCGGAGGAAUACCAGAGGCGAAGGCGGCACCCUGGGUCUGACCUGACACUGAUCCGCGACAGCAUGGGGAGCGAACGGG